This 253-nucleotide ribosomal RNA is filed under the name uncultured bacterium. Its description in RNAcentral is "partial 16S ribosomal RNA". It matches the Rfam family "Bacterial small subunit ribosomal RNA", at positions 524 to 776 of the family's 1533-position model. The record is from RNAcentral.
UACGGAGGGUGCAAGCGUUAAUCGGAAUUACUGGGCGUAAAGCGCACGCAGGUGGCUGAGUAAGUCGAUUGUGAAAGCCCUGGGCUUAACCUGGGAAUUGCAGUCGAAACUACUCGGCUAGAGUAUGGGAGAGGGCAGUGGAAUUCCCGGUGUAGCGGUGAAAUGCGUAGAUAUCGGGAGGAACAUCAGUGGCGAAGGCGGCUGCCUGGCCCAAUACUGACACUCAGAUGCGACAGCGUGGGGAGCAAACAGG